GCCUGGGAACAUGUACCUCCUUCUUUCCCAGCCUCUUGUUUGGUCCCUUUCCAUUUUUUCCCUCCCCUCAUCUAGCUUGAAGGGGAGGAGGAGGAGCAUCCAAAGCAUUUCUCUGCAUCUCUGAUAAUAUUCAGCCAUUUAAAAGCUUCUCAAGCCUUACCCUUUAUUGUGGUUUUGCAUUUUCAGACCUAAAGUACCAACGUUCAGCCCCAGUGCUCCUGACUCAGGACACAUGGAGACUUGAACUGAGAAUAGUUCUGAAGGUUUUCAAACAAACACACAAGCCUAUCUCCUAACCAAUUACUCUAGCCUCCAAGAGAUAAAGAGUUGAAAAGCGUCUCUUCAGAGAGUAAAAUAUGUAAUGUUUGUCCACAUUGAAAAUUCUUUGCUUUAAUAUCUCCAAAUUUAGGACCCAUUUUAAAACACACAGAUAUCCAUCAUUUAAUUGCUUUAAGAUAACGUUAUAUCAUUGAGGUUUUGAUCAUUUCUUUGAAAAGUUAUUUUUAGAGAUGUUCAUUUUCGGUGGAAGCACUAAAGUACAGUGGCAUUCUGCAAUAGCAAUUUUCCAUCAAAUGCUUUUUUCUGUAAGUUGUGAAAACAGCAUUGAUUAUACGGCCAAACACUGCUAAAAAGUGCUCUGCAUCAUAAAAGGAUUUGGAACCUCGUUUAUUAUCCUCUAAAUUGUACAUUGUACACUCGGUAGCAACAUGUUGUAAACUAAACAGCGUUUCCUAUCCAAACCAAUAGUAUCAUAAUAAAACAAUUCAGACGUUUUCUGAAAAGCAUGAUUUGGUGGAUUCCAAAUCAAAAACAAAUCUUUUCGCUCCCCAUAACAAAUGCUGGUGGUGUGGCUGCCUCAGUAGUUUUGUCCAACAGUGUUUGGUAAUCCCAGUGACUCAGAAUGGCCAUGAAAGACUGGAUGAACUGACAGAGAUGCUAAAAGCGGCUGAAUCCCAUCACCAAAGAGCAAACUCUGAGGCAUAGUGGCUGGUUUGGGGUUCUCACGUUACAUCACGUAGAAGUGUUUGUGUUUUCCUCCUGAGACAUCAAAUAAACAUCAGAAAGACAAACCUAUUAGCAUUGACCAAACUCAUCCAAAAAUCUAUCCUAGUUAGAAUUAACGUAAUUUUCUUGGUAUCAAAGGUUGUGCCAGAUUUGAAACUGAAUUUGAAGUCCAAAUUCCUGUGGUGGGGACCACAUUUCUUUGACCAGGCUCUUCCAUUUCUUUAUGUGAGCACAGCUCCCAGCAGGAAAUACUCAUUUCUCAAACUUUUCUUGAGACCAUUAAAUCAGUACUACAGACAGUCAGCAGUUGAAUGGACACAUCCUUUUUAUUGGCUCCCUGAUAAUCUGCACAGUGAAAUAUGGAAUUGUUCUGUACGGAGUUACCAGCUUUGGAAGCAAAAUAAGGUACCUUUCUUUCAAUAUUCUAAUUAAGUUACUCUAACCCCUCAAUCUGCCUGUGGAGGGAAGAUUUCUUCCAUCCCUGAGGUCUUCCUUCCCAAAAGAAGUCCCAAGACUGAGAGGGGUUUAUGCAAUCCAGUCAAUCUGUUUUGAUGAUCAUCUAUUUUAGAAAAGAAAAUAGAAUAACUUCCAUGGUCAGAGUUUCAGUCUGUUCGGGCUACUGUAACAAAAACACCAUAGAUUGUGUGGCGUAAACUCAUGGUUCUGGAGGCUGGGAAGUCCAAGAUCAAGGUCGUAUUUGGUGUCUGGUGAUUCAUAGAGGGACCUCUUCUCCCUGUGUUCUUACGUGGUGGGAG
RNAcentral lists this long non-coding RNA (1760 nucleotides) under Sus scrofa (pig). RNAcentral's name for it is "lncRNA (ENSSSCG00045019591.1)". The record is from RNAcentral. Lineage: Eukaryota; Metazoa; Chordata; Mammalia; Artiodactyla; Suidae.